GCGUAAGCGCACGCAGGCGGUCUGUCAAGUCGGAUGUGAAAUCCCCGGGCUCAACCUGGGAACUGCAUUCGAAACUGGCAGGCUGGAGUCUUGUAGAGGGGGGUAGAAUUCCAGGUGUAGCGGUGAAAUGCGUAGAGAUCUGGAGGAAUACCGGUGGCGAAGGCGGCCCCCUGGACAAAGACUGACGCUCAGGUGCGAAAGCGUGGGGAGCAAACAGGAUUAAAUACCCUGGUAGUCCACGCCGUAAACGAUGUCGAUUUGGAGGUUGUGCCCUUGAGGCCCGCCUUCCGGAGCUAACGCGUUAAAUCCACCGCCCG
Molecule: ribosomal RNA, 317 nt
Filed under: Klebsiella pneumoniae
Lineage: Bacteria; Pseudomonadati; Pseudomonadota; Gammaproteobacteria; Enterobacterales; Enterobacteriaceae
Description: bacterial SSU rRNA
Rfam family: Bacterial small subunit ribosomal RNA
Source: RNAcentral